This 1117-nucleotide long non-coding RNA is filed under the name Equus asinus (donkey). RNAcentral describes it as "lncRNA (ENSEASG00005027397.1)". The record is from RNAcentral. Lineage: Eukaryota; Metazoa; Chordata; Mammalia; Perissodactyla; Equidae.
GUAAAUGCCUAUUUAAGUCCUUUGUCCAUUUUUAAAUUAGGUUGUUUAUCUCUUUGUUGUUGAGUUGCAAGUGUUCUUUAUAUAUUCUGGAUACUAGACUCUUAUCAGAUAUACAUUAUUAGUUUUUAAAUAUGGUUGCAGAAGUAAAAUCUCUUGCUAUUUUUCGGUCAGGGUAUUCUCAAACAGAAAAAACCAAGAUUUUGCUUGGUGCCCAUUAACCACAGGUUAUUUUAAAUGAGCAUCUAAGAAUGUACUAUGCUUCCUCCUAAUGAUUCAGGAGUUGCAGCUGUGCAAGUAUUAUUUGUCUUCUUCUCUCCUCUUAAAUUCAUCUUGGGGUUUCCCAGGGACAAUCAAAGACAUCCAUAACUUAAGCUUGUUUUCCCAAAAAAAUAGCUUCUGAAGGCUUGCUGUGAAGUCACAUGCUCAGCUCACUGGUUCCAGUGGUCAGGCAUAAUUUCUCUCUCCAAAGUCCUCUCACCCUGAUUGCUUUGACACAGCUGCAACACCACCGCCACCAGGUACUCAAAAGUGUCAAAAGUUCCGCUUGCCUAGCACAUGCAGGUUUUCUCCUCUCCAGACUUUCACGUGGGGAAAAGCAAGAUUCCACUUACUUCCAAGUCUUUGAAUAAUAUCAGCAUUUCGGAAGAUGACCCACAUGAAUCCCUUGGUGUCAUAUGCUCCUCGGUCACUGGCACCCUAAUUUGUAAAUGCCCGGUGGCACAGCGGUUAGGUUCCCACACUCUGCCUCAGUGGCCUGGGGUUCGCUGGUUUGGAUCCCAGGUGCAGACCUACACACCACUUGUCAAGCCAUGCUGUGGCAGGCAUCCCACAUAUAAAAAGUAGAGGAAGAUGGGCAUGGAUGUUAGCUCGGAGUCCAUCUUUCUCAGCAAAAAAAGAGGAGGAUUGGCAGCAGAGGUUAGCUCAGGGCUAAUCUUGCUCAAAAAAACAAAAACAAAAAAGCAAAAAAGCCCCAAUCUUUGUUUAUACUUAUUCAUUGAACUUAUAGAUAAAGUGAGUUCUUGGAGAGACUCAGAAAUCUUCUAUUUUUCUCUGUCUGGCCUCUCUGUUAAUUUAUUCAUCUUGUUAUUUUAAUGCUUGUCAAAUUUUUCAUCAAAAU